Molecule: long non-coding RNA, 1008 nt
Filed under: Chinchilla lanigera (long-tailed chinchilla)
Lineage: Eukaryota; Metazoa; Chordata; Mammalia; Rodentia; Chinchillidae
Description: lncRNA (ENSCLAG00000027099.1)
Source: RNAcentral
CCUGGCACUGGAAGAGUGGUUCUCUCCGCAUCUCCAGCUGCCCCAGGACUCAGGCCCCAUAGCUGAGGAGCAUCUCUGCUGACUGUGCCACUGAAGAACUCUGCCUCUCUGCUCCAGCUGUGUGAUGAUGAUACUGGUCCUGCUCACAUGUCAAGACAAUUCUGCUGACCCCAGCACAGGUUGCUUUCCAUGAGGGAGAAUGUGAGGCAUGUGUCUGCUGUCUUCACCUGUCGUUUUCCCCACGUCAUCACGCUUGAAGCUUGUCCAUUGUGCUUAUUUCCCUGGUUAUCAGCUGCCCAUCCAGAUCUACACAUUUCCUCUAACGCUGCUGUUCCCUCACCUGACCCAGGAAAGCCUUAGGAAGCUCUCGUUUGCCCCAGGAGCUGACCACAUGAUCCUCUCUCAACCAUCGGGCAGCAGUCCUGAGUCAGCACACCAGCCCUCAAGAUAAGAUCGUAUGGAGAAUUACAGAAGCUGGUGGCUGUGCUGAUCAUACCUUGACUCCCCAGUUGUGUUUGUUUUCUUCUGUGUUUGUUACCCAAGAUUUGUCAUUGAGAAUCCAGUUCUCAUCUGUGUCCUUGGAAGAGUUUCCCAGAAGGAAGCCCUUUCUCCUCAAGUACUGUGCUGGAGAUGAAGCAGGGAGCUCCUAUCAACCACGGCAGCUUGCUCCCAUCAGCACAAGGUCUGCAGGUCCAACAGAGGGGACCUCCGAUAGCGCCAUCCUGGUGGGGCCACUGUGUGAAAAAUGAGUCACACACUUGCAAAACGAGGGCAAGUACCCUACCCAAAUCCUGUGAAAUCACAAAAUUAGUCAUGAGCUGAAAUAAUCAUUGCUUUGUCUUUCCUCUUCUUGCUUUUGUAAACAGCCCUGCUUUUGAUGCUACUCCCUGACCAUAGCAGCCCCUAGUGGCAGCAGCUGAAACACACAGGAUUACACUGGCUCAGACAGCUCUUCCUCAGUGAGUCCCCAGACAUUCACAGGAGCCUGAAGACUCCCACAUGACCUCC